GGGUCUCUGUUUACGUAACUGUUCUUGUCAAAUUACCAGUACGGAUCUGAGGCCCUUUGCUUCAAAGGUCCGGUGUAAAGCUACAUAUCUUCUUCAAGGAACUUCAAGUAGAUGAUUAAGGUAGGCCUUCCUUGAGCCGCUAGGUAUUGUUCUGGGAACUCUUCUCAUCUGCUUUACUUAAUACAGCCAGAAUAAGAACAUCUGGCGUAUAAUUUGUCUUUAUUCAGUGACGAGUCCAAGGCUGUUCUAACUCGCGAAGCAGCCAACAGGGGAUUUGGCUUGUUUAGUUCAGACGAUACUCAGCUGUGACUCCUUCCAGCACUAGAGUUACUCAAAGCCAAGUAAUACCAUUUUCGUUGUCAUCAUGGUUAUUUUGGACACUUAACUGUUUCCUAUGGAUCGGUGCUUGAAGAGUGUUUAUGGAAGGCAAAGAUAGCUGCCCUUUUGGAUGUCCGGUGAAGUAUGAUGAUGUCCCAGCCAUUUUGCCUGUAAGCAAGUCUUUUUUGUGUAAAUGUUGGCAAUAUCAGACCUGGAGAUUAACAAACUGUGUCUCGGGGUGACUGGGCAGAAGUAGUCCUGUGAACUUGCUAGAUUUUUUGCUUCACUGUUCUCGUAAUCUUCUGAACUAUACAUGUCGGGUGAUUGUCAACAAUUUUUUGGCGAGAUGUUGAAGAAUGAAUGAUGUACAGUGCAAAUCAAGAAUGAAGUCAAUAUUUUCUUUUACUA
This is a non-coding RNA of Coffea arabica (coffee), 726 nucleotides long. The record is from RefSeq and is a predicted model, not a curated record. Lineage: Eukaryota; Viridiplantae; Streptophyta; Magnoliopsida; Gentianales; Rubiaceae.